RNAcentral lists this ribosomal RNA (492 nucleotides) under uncultured bacterium. Its description in RNAcentral is "partial 16S ribosomal RNA". It matches the Rfam family "Bacterial small subunit ribosomal RNA", at positions 29 to 507 of the family's 1533-position model. The record is from RNAcentral.
AGUGAACGCUGGCGGUAGGCCUAAUACAUGCAAGUCGAACGGCAGCACAGUAAGAGCUUGCUCUUACGGGUGGCGAGUGGCGGACGGGUGAGGAAUACAUCGGAAUCUACUUUUUCGUGGGGGAUAACGUAGGGAAACUUACGCUAAUACCGCAUACGAUCUACGGGUGAAAGCAGGGGAUCUUCGGACUUUGCGCGAUUGAAUGAGCCGAUGUCGGAUUAGCUAGUUGGCGGGGUAAAGGCCCACCAAGGCGACGAUCCGUAGCUGGUCUGAGAGGAUGAUCAGCCACACUGGAACUGAGACACGGUCCAGACUCCUACGGGAGGCAGCAGUGGGGAAUAUUGGACAAUGGGCGCAAGCCUGAUCCAGCCAUACCGCGUGGGUGAAGAAGGCCUUCGGGUUGUAAAGCCCUUUUGUUGGGAAAGAAAAGCAGCAGGUUAAAACCCCGCUGUCCUGACGGUACCCAAAGAAUAAGCACCGGCUAACUUCGUG